This 71-nucleotide transfer RNA is filed under the name Thermoplasmatota archaeon. RNAcentral's name for it is "tRNA-Gly". It matches the Rfam family "tRNA". Rfam says of the family: Transfer RNA (tRNA) molecules are approximately 80 nucleotides in length. Their secondary structure includes four short double-helical elements and three loops (D, anti-codon, and T loops). The record is from RNAcentral. Lineage: Archaea; Methanobacteriati; Thermoplasmatota.
GCGGAUAUGAUCUAGCGGUAUGAUAAUGGCUUCCCAAGCCAUUUACUCGGGUUCAAAUCCCGGUAUCCGCA